This 492-nucleotide ribosomal RNA is filed under the name uncultured bacterium. RNAcentral describes it as "partial 16S ribosomal RNA". It matches the Rfam family "Bacterial small subunit ribosomal RNA", at positions 29 to 507 of the family's 1533-position model. The record is from RNAcentral.
AGUGAACGCUGGCGGUAGGCCUAACACAUGCAAGUCGAACGGCAGCACAGUAAGAGCUUGCUCUUACGGGUGGCGAGUGGCGGACGGGUGAGGAAUACAUCGGAAUCUACUUUUUCGUGGGGGAUAACGUAGGGAAACUUACGCUAAUACCGCAUACGACCUACGGGUGAAAGCAGGGGAUCUUCGGACCUUGCGCGAUUGAAUGAGCCGAUGUCGGAUUAGCUAGUUGGCGGGGUAAAGGCCCACCAAGGCGACGAUCCGUAGCUGGUCUGAGAGGAUGAUCACCCACACUGGAACUGAGACACGGUCCAGACUCCUACGGGAGGCAGCAGUGGGGAAUAUUGGACAAUGGGCGCAAGCCUGAUCCAGCCAUACCGCGUGGGUGAAGAAGGCCUUCGGGUUGUAAAGCCCUUCUGUUGGGAAAGAAAAGCAGCAGGUUAAUACCCCGCUGUUCUGACGGUACCCAAAGAAUAAGCACCGGCUAACUUCGUG